RNAcentral lists this ribosomal RNA (440 nucleotides) under uncultured bacterium. Its description in RNAcentral is "partial 16S ribosomal RNA". It matches the Rfam family "Bacterial small subunit ribosomal RNA", at positions 338 to 795 of the family's 1533-position model. The record is from RNAcentral.
CCUACGGGAGGCAGCAGUGAGGAAUAUUGGGCAAUGGAGGCAACUCUGACCCAGCCAUGCCGCGUGAGUGAAGAAGGUUUUCGGAUUGUAAAGCUCUUUCGGAUGUGACGAUGAUGACGGUAGCAUCUAAAGAAGCCCCGGCUAACUUCGUGCCAGCAGCCGCGGUCAUACGAAGGGGGCAAGCGUUGUUCGGAAUUACUGGGCGUAAAGGGAGUGUAGGCGGUUUAGUAAGAUAGUGGUGAAAUCCCAGAGCUUAACUUUGGAAUUGCCAUUAUAACUAUUAGACUAGAAUUACAGAGAGGAUAGUGGAAUACCCAGUGUAGAGGUGAAAUUCGUAGAUAUUGGGUAGAACACCAGUGGCGAAGGCGACUAGCUGGCUGUACAUUGACGCUGAGGCUCGAAAGCAUGGGGAUCAAACAGGAUUAGAUACCCGAGUAGUC